UACCAGCACCCCGAGUGGUCGGGACGAUUAUUGGGCCUAAAGCAUCCGUAGCCGGUUCUACAAGUCUUCCGUUAAAUCCACCUGCUUAACAGAUGGGCUGCGGAGGAUACUAUAGAGCUAGGAGGCGGGAGAGGCAAGCGGUACUUAGUGGGUAGGGGUAAAAUCCGUUGAUCCAUUGAAGACCACCAGUGGCGAAGGCGGCUUGCCAGAACGCACUCGACGGUGUGGGAUGAAAGCUGGGGGAGCAAACCGG
RNAcentral lists this ribosomal RNA (253 nucleotides) under uncultured bacterium. RNAcentral describes it as "partial 16S ribosomal RNA". It matches the Rfam family "Archaeal small subunit ribosomal RNA", at positions 474 to 727 of the family's 1478-position model. The record is from RNAcentral.